GUGAGGAAUAUUGCGCAAUGGAGGCAACUCUGACGCAGCCAUGCCGCGUGCAGGAAGAAGGCGCUACGCGUUGUAAACUGCUUUUAACCGGGAAGAAACCCCAGGACGUGUCCUGGGUUGACGGUACCGGAGGAAUAAGCACCGGCUAACUUCGUGCCAGCAGCCGCGGUAAUACGAAGGGUGCAAGCGUUAUCCGGAUUCAUUGGGUUUAAAGGGUGCGUAGGCGGAGCGUUAAGUCAGUGGUGAAAUCCUGCAGCUUAACUGUAGACUUGCCAUUGAUACUGUCGCUCUUGAGUGCGCUUGAAGUGGGCGGAAUGUGCCGUGUAGCGGUGAAAUGCUUAGAUAUGGCACAGAACACCAAUUGCGAAGGCAGCUCACUAAGGCGAUACUGACGCUGAGGCACGAAAGCGUGGGGAUCGAACAGGAUUAGAUACCCCAGUAGUCC
RNAcentral lists this ribosomal RNA (445 nucleotides) under uncultured bacterium. RNAcentral's name for it is "bacterial SSU rRNA". It matches the Rfam family "Bacterial small subunit ribosomal RNA", at positions 354 to 796 of the family's 1533-position model. The record is from RNAcentral.